Molecule: long non-coding RNA, 407 nt
Filed under: Homo sapiens (human)
Lineage: Eukaryota; Metazoa; Chordata; Mammalia; Primates; Hominidae
Description: HSALNT0167467
Source: RNAcentral
CGGGCUGCGGGGCGCGGGCGGGCCGACUCCGGGGCGCUGCGUGCGCGCAGGGGCAGUCAUUCAGAUGAAAUUCCAGUCCCCGGCCAGAGACACCAGCCCGCCUCUGCCUUCCUCCUCCCUUCACAAAUAGAAACGGAAGGGGGAGGGAGAGAAGUGGAAAAAAAGGCAACCGGCGAGGGAGGGAGGGAGAAGCCCCGGCGGCGCUCCGGCCUGACCCCCGGGCGGCUACUUCUGCGCUCCCCCGAGGCCCGGCGCCCCCGCCGCGGAGAGACCCCGCGCGCCCGUCUCCGCGCUGGGCGGGCGCCCGGGCUCUGCCGAGGAAAACAAGGAUUGAUCAAACUAGAAAGGAAUUUUUCUCAACUGCUAAUGAACAGGAGGCUCGGGGCUGCGGUCGGAGCCAGCCUGCG